This 253-nucleotide ribosomal RNA is filed under the name uncultured bacterium. RNAcentral's name for it is "partial 16S ribosomal RNA". It matches the Rfam family "Bacterial small subunit ribosomal RNA", at positions 524 to 776 of the family's 1533-position model. The record is from RNAcentral.
UACAGAGGGUGCGAGCGUUAAUCGGAAUUACUGGGCGUAAAGCGCGCGUAGGCGGCUUUGUAAGUCGGAUGUGAAAUCCCCGGGCUUAACCUGGGAACUGCAUUCGAGACUGCAUAGCUAGAGUAUGGGAGAGGGAAGUGGAAUUUCAGGUGUAGCGGUGAAAUGCGUAGAUAUCUGAAGGAACAUCAGUAGCGAAAGCGACUUCCUGGACCAAUACUGACGCUCAUGUGCGAAAGCGUGGGGAGCAAACAGG